Molecule: ribosomal RNA, 229 nt
Filed under: uncultured bacterium
Lineage: Bacteria
Description: partial 16S ribosomal RNA
Rfam family: Bacterial small subunit ribosomal RNA
Source: RNAcentral
UCCGUAGGUGGAUCAAUCAGUCAGAGGUGAAAUCCUGCAGCUUAACUGUAGAACUGCCUUUGAUACUGUUGAUCUUGAGUCAUUAUGAAGUGGUUAGAAUGUGUAGUGUAGCGGUGAAAUGCAUAGAUAUUACACAGAAUACCGAUUGCGAAGGCAGAUCACUAAUAAUGUACUGACACUGAGGGACGAAAGCGUGGGGAGCGAACAGGAUUAGAUACCCGAGUAGUCC